GACGAACGCUGGCGGCGUGCUUAACACAUGCAAGUCGAACGGUGAUGCUCCAGCUUGCUGGAGUGGAUCAGUGGCGAACGGGUGAGUAACACGUGAGCAACCUGCCCCAGACUCUGGAAUAAGCGCUGGAAACGGCGUCUAAUACUGGAUACGAAACUGGCCCGCAUGGGCAUGGUUUGGGAAGUUUUUCGGUUUGGGAUGGGCUCGCGGCCUAUCAGCUUGUUGGUGAGGUAAUGGCUCACCAAGGCGACGACGGGUAGCCGGCCUGAGAGGGCGACCGGCCACACUGGGACUGAGACACGGCCCAGACUCCUACGGGAGGCAGCAGUGGGGAAUAUUGCACAAUGGGCGAAAGCCUGAUGCAGCGACGCCGCGUGAGGGAUGACGGCCUUCGGGUUGUAAACCUCUUUCAGCAGGGAAGAAGCGAAAGUGACGGUACCUGCAGAAGAAGCACCGGCUAACUACGUG
RNAcentral lists this ribosomal RNA (468 nucleotides) under uncultured bacterium. RNAcentral describes it as "partial 16S ribosomal RNA". It matches the Rfam family "Bacterial small subunit ribosomal RNA", at positions 28 to 507 of the family's 1533-position model. The record is from RNAcentral.